RNAcentral lists this ribosomal RNA (117 nucleotides) under Crocodylus porosus (Australian saltwater crocodile). The record is from RNAcentral. Lineage: Eukaryota; Metazoa; Chordata; Crocodylia; Crocodylidae.
GAGGGUUGUUAAAACAAAUUAAAUGCAUCUGAUCUUGUCUGAUUUCCAAAGUUAAACGGUUUUGUGCCCUGCUAAUACUUGGAUAAGAGACCACCUGUGAAACUAGGGGAGCCAUGA